GAUGAACGCUGGCGGCGUGCCUAAUACAUGCAAGUCGAGCGAACAGACGAGGCGCUUGCUCCUCUGACGUUAGCGGCGGACGGGUGAGUAACACGUGGAUAACCUACCUAUAAGACUGGGAUAACUUCGGGAAACCGGAGCUAAUACCGGAUAAUAUAUUGAACCGCAUGGUUCAAUAGUGAAAGACGGUUUUGCUGUCACUUAUAGAUGGAUCCGCGCCGCAUUAGCUAGUUGGUAAGGUAACGGCUUACCAAGGCAACGAUGCGUAGCCGACCUGAGAGGGUGAUCGGCCACCCUGGAACUGAGACACGGUCCAGACGACUACGGGAGGCAGCAGUAGGGAAUCUUACGCAAUGGGCGAAAGCCUGACGGAGCAACGCCGCGUGAGUGAUGAAGGUCUUCGGAUCGUAAAACUCUGUUAUUAGGGAAGAACAAAUGUGUAAGUAACUAUGCACGUCUUGACGGUACCGAAUCAGAAAGCCACGGCUAACUACGUG
This 497-nucleotide ribosomal RNA is filed under the name uncultured bacterium. Its description in RNAcentral is "partial 16S ribosomal RNA". It matches the Rfam family "Bacterial small subunit ribosomal RNA", at positions 28 to 507 of the family's 1533-position model. The record is from RNAcentral.